Molecule: small nucleolar RNA, 94 nt
Organism: Thalassophryne amazonica
Lineage: Eukaryota; Metazoa; Chordata; Actinopteri; Batrachoidiformes; Batrachoididae
Product: small nucleolar RNA U83B
Exons: 1
Source: RefSeq, a predicted model, not a curated record
UUCCGUCUAUGAAGAGACCACGGAACUCUGCGUCAGGCAUGGCGCCCGACACGCGUGAGGAUAUCUUCCAUGCUGCCUUCCUUCUGAGACUGCA